AUCCAUUUUUGACCACAAGAGCAAUUUUGAGUGAAAGUAUUAAUAAUAAGAGCACUUUUGAGCCAAACUAUAUUGAAAGGUUUAAGGGCAUUUUUGAUCAUUUUUACUUAGUUUAUCACUUUUUGUAAGGGUAGAUAUAUUUAUAUAUGUAGGAUUGGUAGAGAGAUUUGAAGUUAUAAUGGAGAGAUGAAAAAUCUAAUUGGAUAUGGAGUCGCUUGUCUGUGUAAGAGAGAUAUACAUGUUUGUGUUUGAGAGUUAAUUAAUUGGAAGGAAAAAAUGAGUGUGAUGUGAUGGGGAGCAAGAUCGAUCAAUCCCCUGACAGGAUUGAGGCAUAAAUUGGAAUUGAUUGAAUGAGUGCGUUGCCAUAUUCUCAUUAUAGAUGCGUGCCCAACAACUAUUCUCUGUAAACGUUGGUAAUAUCUGUGGACCUCGAUUGUUACCGGUUGAUCUGAUGAGAAGUUUAUUUCCUUCCUGGACAAUGCACGAUACUCGAAUUGAUUGUUACAUUGAAAUCGUUGCUCCAUAUGUUCAACAUUUAAAGAUUUCUGGGGAUUUUGUUGGUGUGGAAGUUAGGCUUGGACACCUGUCGUCUUUGAUCCAGGCUCAUCUUACCUACGAAUUAUACGACUUCCGUGUAUCUGGUGAAGUAAUUGACAAAAGCAUAGCAUGUGCUAACGAGCUAAUCAUCCCAUCCUGGUACAUCAAGGUACCUCUUCGGGUGACUUCAAUGUAGGGAAAUCGUCAACAGGUCCUAUUGUGUUUGCUGGGGUUAAAAAAUGAUUUACAGAUAUUCCUUUCUCUCGUAGCUCGACUUUCCUAACAGGCCUCUGCCGGCACGACAGGAAGUAGUAAAUCACACACUAAAUUGCACGAGAGGAGGGAGUACUGUUAUAUAGUAUGGUGAUUUCCAUGAUAAUCCUGCAAAAGAAGAAGUUUCAUUACAAAUGUACCUUCCUUGGCAUCCAUAGACUCUUAAAUUUAACUCCUUGUCUAGAGAAUUUGACAAUACAUCCUAAAGAGGUUCGUAUGCAUGUUUUCAACUGAUUUGAUUCUUCGAGAUACUUUUGUUUCGUUUUCACUCAUUUUGUUUCAUGUGUCAGAGGUGUGUUUGAUAUAGAGUUCUGCAUUUUAUGUGUGAACCUUAAGUAGUUGUUGUUUUGUUUGGCAUAAAAGUGUUACUAUUACACUCCCAUUCAUCUACUACAACUUCAACUUCUAUGUUACUCUAAAUGCUUAUUAUCUCAUAUUAGUUUAACAUGUUCCCAUAAAGUAUAUCUCAUAAAAAUGUACUGAAUCUUCUUAAUGAAAGACCUCGUCUAUCAAUAUUUAUUUCUGAAAAGUGUUGAUCUAUGUUGUUAAAUUUUUGCCCCGUAAUUGAUUAUAUCCUGUUUUGUGGUUCUCCUGUAUCCGCACUUUCUUAAAGCAAUGGUGUGAACACAUGGAUGUGUUGGAACACAACUACGAAAACAUAUUCAUACGGUCUUUGCAGAAUCUGAAAACCUAAAAGGUUAUUUUACAGAGGAAUCUCUACAAAGACGAUGAAUCGACAGAGCUUAUUGAACUGAUGAAACGUUUGCUUGAGCAUGCAAAAUACUUGGAGAAACUGGUUAUAGAGACAGAGAACCGGGGUUGUUCCCAGUAUAUUUUGUUCAAUAUAAUUAUUGCGAGUAGUUUACAAGUACGAUCUUUUCAAUAUAUCACUCCUUGCAAUC
Molecule: RNA transcript, 1712 nt
Organism: Solanum pennellii
Lineage: Eukaryota; Viridiplantae; Streptophyta; Magnoliopsida; Solanales; Solanaceae
Exons: 3
Source: RefSeq, a predicted model, not a curated record